AAUGGCUAAAAAAUUAUCGAAGGAGGUGGAGCCUACCCAGCUCCGUUCCACCCUGAACGUUGACCCUAAUAAUUUGCUGUUUCGAAGUAUUAAAAAUCAACGUUUCGUCUUGUGCGGUCCUAUUUCAUCCUUUGCAAAGAUAGCUGCAACGUUGACCUUACUCUGGAAAAUAUAUCUGCAAAUGCCAAAUAACACGCGAAUUUGGGGGUUUAUUGCUUAAAGCUAUUCUUAAACUACAGAACUAUCUAAAUUAAAUACAUUCAAGAAUGUGCAGUUAUCUUCUUUGUGUAAAUAUCCUUAUAUUCAAAUUGCUCUUUCAAGUACAAAUGUGAAAAAUGUC
This is a long non-coding RNA of Xenia sp. Carnegie-2017, 340 nucleotides long. RefSeq lists it as uncharacterized. The record is from RefSeq and is a predicted model, not a curated record. The transcript is spliced from 2 exons. NCBI's taxonomy places the organism in Eukaryota, Metazoa, Cnidaria, Anthozoa, Malacalcyonacea, Xeniidae.